This 76-nucleotide transfer RNA is filed under the name Streptomyces ipomoeae. Its description in RNAcentral is "tRNA-Ala". Lineage: Bacteria; Bacillati; Actinomycetota; Actinomycetes; Kitasatosporales; Streptomycetaceae. RNAcentral also lists the same sequence under 2 other names. The record is from RNAcentral.
CGGGUCGUAGCUCAAGUGGUGGAGCACGGCAAAAGCGUUGCCGAGGAGCCUGGUUCAAGUCCGGCCGGCCCGACCA